Molecule: ribosomal RNA, 159 nt
Filed under: Salmonella enterica subsp. enterica serovar Agona str. 400095 14
Lineage: Bacteria; Pseudomonadati; Pseudomonadota; Gammaproteobacteria; Enterobacterales; Enterobacteriaceae
Description: partial 23S ribosomal RNA
Rfam family: Bacterial large subunit ribosomal RNA
Source: RNAcentral
AAAGCAUCUAAGCACGAAACUUGCCCCGAGAUGAGUUCUCCCUGAGACUUAGAGUCUCCUGAAGGAACGUUGAAGACGACGACGUUGAUAGGCCGGGUGUGUAAGCGCAGCGAUGCGUUGAGCUAACCGGUACUAAUGAACCGUGAGGCUUAACCUUAC